AGAGGUCAUGUGUAUGAUUGAGUAUAAGAACUAGAACUGCAACCGGAUCCCAGAAGCUAAACUUGUAUUUCCUUGUUUGAAGAUACAAAGACGAAGAUUCACA
RNAcentral lists this small RNA (103 nucleotides) under Arabidopsis thaliana (thale cress). RNAcentral's name for it is "ATSL199050". Lineage: Eukaryota; Viridiplantae; Streptophyta; Magnoliopsida; Brassicales; Brassicaceae. The record is from RNAcentral.